AGAGAUACAAGUGUAGACCCUGUUUUCAGCUAUUCAAUUUUUCUAUUUCCCAAACCCAUUUGACAUGUAACUCUUCAAAUCACCAGGUUCCUCAAAAAACAAACAACAACAACAAAAAAACCCAACAAAACAUGAAGAAGCCAAAUCUGGAGGAUGAGUUUUCCAAAUUAAACACUGAAUAUUGUUGUAGAGUAAAAUGAUACUGUUUGUAAAGAGAUGUUUUUACUAGACAUCCUCUUCCUAGCCACCUAUUAAGGAAUAACUAGAAUAUAUAUUAACAGGAAGACAUCGGAAAUUAUCUUUGCACCUGAGAAAAUGUUAAGAUUCAGAAUUUGGCUGGAUGCUACUAAAGAGCUACUGAAAUAGACUCAAUGGCAGCUACAAUGCCCAACAGAAGCAGCGAUGCCUGGUGCACAUAGCAGGUUGCUAGCAGGAGUCUCCUGGGGUGAUUCACCUGUCUUGUUGGUGAGGAUAUGGACAUCAUCUGGGGACUCUCAGAAAUCCCUGAAGUGAUAUAGAGUCCCACAUGAGCUUGCCUAUGGUGUUUUACAAACCAAUAAUGUAGUGUUCAUAAACCAAAGUCACUUGGAGCUUUCUUCUUUGUAUAUGCAAACAUAUUCUGGGAGUAUGGCACUUAACAAGAUGGCAGAAAAAAAUUCAGCCAGGAUUCAACACUUUCCCACACAUCAUCAACACUUGACUAAAGUGCCACCUAGUGCCAAGCAAGAGAAGCAAGUCAGGUCUCAGGUUUAGAGUCACAUGAAUCAUUUCUUCAUUUACUUUGCAUCCUCUGUCAAGGGUUAGUUAAAAUGGAUCUUCUUCGGUGUCUCUCAUCUCAGAAACAUUAACAGGAAGUUGUAAGUGGCUCUGUUCAAGUCAUCAGCACUGACAACAUUAAGAAUCAUGGAGAAACUUAACUCAUUCUUAACAAUCAGAAAAUGAACAUUGGGUAUUUCCUUGUAAAUUUCAAUUUAAAAGUAAAUAAAAAUUAUUAAUAUAAGGUCAAUAAAUGUUCUUCAAUGGAAAUUUAAUUAAAUAAAUAUGACAUAUCCUUUCAACAAAGUCUAUGUAAGUCAAAAAUUAAUAUGCUUAAUGAUACAAAAAACAUUUAUG
Molecule: long non-coding RNA, 1113 nt
Organism: Pan paniscus (pygmy chimpanzee)
Lineage: Eukaryota; Metazoa; Chordata; Mammalia; Primates; Hominidae
Source: Ensembl